Molecule: ribosomal RNA, 305 nt
Filed under: uncultured bacterium
Lineage: Bacteria
Description: bacterial SSU rRNA
Rfam family: Bacterial small subunit ribosomal RNA
Source: RNAcentral
AUUAUCCUACGGGGCGCAGCAGUGAGGAAUAUUGGUCAAUGGGCUUACGCCUGAACCAGCCACGUCGCGUGAGGGAAGACUGCCCUAUGGGUUGUAAACCUCUUUUGUCAGGGGGCAACGCCGGCUACGUGUAGCCGGACUGAGAGUACCUGAAGAAAAAGCAUCGGCUAACUCCGUGCCAGCAGCCGCGGUAAUACGGAGGAUGCGAGCGUUAUCCGGAUUUUUUGGGUUUAAAGGGUGCGUAGGCGGAAUGCCAAGUCAGCGGUAAAAUCGCGGGGCUCAACCCCGCUCCGCCGUUGAAACUG